Astatotilapia calliptera (eastern happy) is the source of this 1067-nucleotide long non-coding RNA. The record is from Ensembl. NCBI's taxonomy places the organism in Eukaryota, Metazoa, Chordata, Actinopteri, Cichliformes, Cichlidae.
AAUGGUUUGAAAAAAUUCCUCCCUGGACUAAUAAUAAAUAUUUUUUGGUGCUAUAUUAGAUAUAUAUGUAAUCAUAUUUAUAGUAAUAGUUUGCGAAGGUGAAAACAGGAAGCACAAAUGGUGUUUUUUUUUUUAAUGUGAUCCAAUUUAUCCCGUUAAAUUGUUAACUGAAGUCCUUGUUUGUGCUCCCAAAAAAUUGGUACCUUUGGUUAUGGAAAACUUAGGCCCUCUCGCUACCUUUGCCAAACCUUCUAUCAGGAACUUUGGUGUAAAUUUUGACUCAGCUCUGACUUUGGUCUCAUUUCAUUUGGAUUAUUGCAAUUCUUUGUUCACUUGUAAAGCUUCUGUGGAUCAUUUGCAAGCUGUUCAGAACACUGCCGCAAAGCUUCUGACCAAAUCUUCUAAAUUCUCAGUUGCACUGGCUCCCCACAAAAUUCAGAACCCACUUCAAGAUUUUGACUUUGACAUUCAGGGCUCUGCCUGGUCAAGCACCAACCUAUAUCAGAGAUCUUUUACAUCAGUACAUCCUAGGGCUGCACGAUUAAUCGUUAGAAAAUCGCGAUCUCCAUUCAUACUUAUGUGCGAUCUCAUUUCCAAAUGACAACGAUUUAAAAAAAAAAAAAAAAAAAAAGAUGACGACGAUUGUACCGCAUUUUGAUCCGGGACGUAAUCUGCAUGGAAACAAGCGCUCACUCUUCCUGCUCAACAAAUGGCAAGGGCGGAGCCUUAUACCACGUGAUACAGAAGCUGUGCCGUGUGAUGCUAAAAUUAGCAGGGAAAAAACAACGGAGAGCACGUCAGGGAUGAGGAGAAAGUGACGGGAGAAAAUCCGUCCCGGUCAACCACCCAAACAUCAAUAACAGGAACCUUAUACAACGCUUCACAUCGAACCUCCGCAGGCACAAAGAAAUUACGGAGGCUAUCACUUAUCACCUGACCAAAGAUAUGGCUCCCAUCAACACUGUGAAAAAAGAGGGAUUUAGGAAAAUGAUCAACACCCUAGACAUAUGCUACACAGUGCCGUCCUGCAACUAUUUUUCUAUUGUUGCACUACCUGCUCUAUACAC